GAUCAUGGCUCAGAUUGAACGCUGGCGGCAUGCCUUACACAUGCAAGUCGAACGGCAGCAUGGAGAGCUUGCUCUCUGAUGGCGAGUGGCGAACGGGUGAGUAAUACAUCGGGACGUGUCCGUUUGUGGGGGACAACCGUCCGAAAGGAUGGCCAAUACCGCAUGAGACCUGAGGGUGAAAGCCGGGGACCGCAAGGCCCGGCGCAGACGGAGCGGCCGAUGAUUGA
Molecule: ribosomal RNA, 227 nt
Filed under: uncultured bacterium
Lineage: Bacteria
Description: partial 16S ribosomal RNA
Rfam family: Bacterial small subunit ribosomal RNA
Source: RNAcentral